GUCUUAAUUCACAACCUUAAUUCAUCUGGGCUUCUGUCGUGGUUUGGCCCGGAAAUGUGUUUUUGGAAAGGUCUAAGUCGGGCCAAUCAGUGGCCAAAUUCAAAAUUGGCAUGUAAUGUAGCCACUGAGGAUCUGGAUACGCCUCUGAGAACACACGGGGGUUAAAAGCAGGAGAUUCCCAGAGAACUUCCUCUUUGGGAAUCCAGCGUUGGUCCAUCCAGCUCCUCUCACCCACGUGGAAAUCCCAUAUCCCAGCUCUCCUGCUCAGUCUUGUUCCUGUCACCAACCGGUUUGUCAGUGCCACAAAAGACACCAUUUGGAACUGACAGACAACUGGGGCAUCUGCUCUGCUGGCAAUGCUGCCAAGAGGUUUGGAAGGGCACCAGGUCAGGGGCUGGCUUCUGCACAGUCAAAAAGG
Passer domesticus (house sparrow) is the source of this 418-nucleotide long non-coding RNA. RefSeq lists it as uncharacterized. The record is from RefSeq and is a predicted model, not a curated record. The transcript is spliced from 3 exons. Lineage: Eukaryota; Metazoa; Chordata; Aves; Passeriformes; Passeridae.